CCAUGUACCGAUCAUAACAUCAAGAUCCUCAUUCAGGAAGAAGAUUGUUUCUGAUGUUUGAAAGGAGAAGAAAGGAAAUGAGAAGAAGAAAAAAGAAAAAGGAAGGAAAGAAGGACGAAGACCAGUAGCACGUGCCAACACUCUUGCUCGUUACGAAUCACAUCCUUGUUCUUCGGCCAUUGUCAGAGAUCUCUUUUGGUUGGUGCGUUCGCCGAAACAUUUCGCUUGCGUUUGGGUUACACUGCAUGCAGCACUGCUUGCGUGGCCUCCGCAUUUGCUACCACGCGCGCUAAUGAUGCCGGUUAUUAGGAGAACGCCGCUCGAACUUUCGUGCUCGCGAAAGAAAGGAAAGAGAAGAUGGUGAUGGAAGGAGAAACGGUCAUUAUCGAGGAUGACUGGCAGGGAGGUCAUCGUCGUCGCUCCAGUCGAACGCUUCUACCGAACUGGACCUUACAAUAUAUUCUCUGUCCAAGUUCAACUUAGUUCAUGGAGAAUCGAGAUUCGUAACUCGAACGGAAGUUUAACGUAUUCGUUUUGGCAUGCUAGUGGAAGAUUGUCUUGGAACUCAAGAGGAAAAGGGACGAAGAGCAAACGAAACGUUUAAGAUCUUGCAACGAAGUAACGCUUGUUAUAGCGAUUAUGUGAGAAGGAACGUUUAAUUGGAGUACCUCCAGGAAACGUUGGAAUUAGGAAGAGAAACCUAGCUGAGCUAUGAGUCUCAGCUACGAUAAGAUUCUUGAAAAGGGAUGAGGGUGGUUGGUUGAAGUUGCAUCAGAAACACGAGGGUGUUACCGGAAGCCGGCUUAUCGGCUAAUGUCACUUUAACAUUGUAUCGAGUUAUCGGACGACUCCUUGCGAGCCGAUUAAUUAAGCUAAUUAUCGUUUCCGCACGGAUGGCCACGGUCGGAGAGUACGCUCGGAGACAAAUCGUUUUCGCGUGCACUUCGGGGAAGGCGUUACGCUUCUCGCGUCUCUUGCGAAUCCUUGGAGUAGUAAGAGGAAUCUUCUUUCACGCCUCGUUGCACGAACGCCUAUUAACCUUCCUGAGGUACUGAGAUGCGAUUGUUGACUGUGUGAGUGUUAGUACUUGCUAGUACUUAAUCUCAACCUGAAAUUGCAUUUGUUGAAA
Long non-coding RNA from Vespula pensylvanica (western yellowjacket), 1129 nucleotides. RefSeq lists it as uncharacterized. The transcript has 3 exons. The record is from RefSeq and is a predicted model, not a curated record. Lineage: Eukaryota; Metazoa; Arthropoda; Insecta; Hymenoptera; Vespidae.